GAUUGAACGCUGGCGGCAUGCCUUACACAUGCAAGUCGAACGGCAGCACGGGAGCAAUCCUGGUGGCGAGUGGCGAACGGGUGAGUAAUAUAUCGGAACGUGCCCAGUCGUGGGGGAUAACGCAGCGAAAGCUGUGCUAAUACCGCAUACGAUCUAUGGAUGAAAGGCGGGGGAUCGCAAGACCUCGCGCGAUUGGAGCCGGCCGAUAUCAGAUUAGC
This 218-nucleotide ribosomal RNA is filed under the name uncultured soil bacterium. Its description in RNAcentral is "partial 16S ribosomal RNA". It matches the Rfam family "Bacterial small subunit ribosomal RNA", at positions 27 to 245 of the family's 1533-position model. The record is from RNAcentral.